UAUUAAGGCAGCAGCCACUUCAAAGUGU
RNAcentral lists this non-coding RNA (28 nucleotides) under Bombyx mori (domestic silkworm). The record is from RNAcentral. Lineage: Eukaryota; Metazoa; Arthropoda; Insecta; Lepidoptera; Bombycidae.